GGGGAUACUGUUAGACUUGGGACCGGGAGAGGUAAGAGGUACUGCAGGGGUAGGAGUGAAAUCUUGUAAUCCCUGUGAGACCACCAGUGGCGAAGGCGUCUUACCAGAACGGGUCCGACGGUGAGGGACGAAAGCUGGGGGCACGAACCGGAUUAGAUACCCGGGUAGUCCCAGCUGUAAACGAUGCUCGUUAGGUGUCAGGAACGGUGCGACUGUUUCUGGUGCCGAAGGGAAGCCGUGAAACGAGCCACCUGGGAAGUACGGCCGCAAGGCUGAAACUUAAAGGAAUUGGCGGGGGAGCACUACAACGGGUGGAGCCUGCGGUUUAAUUGGACUCAACGCCGGAAAACUCACCGGGGGCGACAGCAAUAUGUAGGUCAGGUUAAAGGUCUUACCUGAAUCGCUGAGAGGAGGUGCAUGGCCGUCGUCAGUUCGUACUGUGAAGCAUCCUGUUAAGUCAGGCAACGAGCAAGACCCGUGCCCACUGUUACCAGCAUAUCCUUUAUGGAUGAUGGGGACUCUGUGGGGACCGCUGCUGCUAAAGCAGAGGAAGGUGCGGGCUACGGUAGGUCAGUAUGCCCCGAAUCUCCCGGGCUACACGCGGGCUACAAUGGUUGGGACAAUGGGUAUCUACUCCGAAAGGAGUUGGCAAUCUCUUAAACCCAAUCGUAGUUCGAAUUGAGGGCUGUAACUCGCCCUCAUGAAGCUGGAAUCCGUAGUAAUCGCGUUUCAACAUAGCGCGGU
This 744-nucleotide ribosomal RNA is filed under the name uncultured archaeon. RNAcentral's name for it is "bacterial SSU rRNA". It matches the Rfam family "Archaeal small subunit ribosomal RNA", at positions 577 to 1319 of the family's 1478-position model. The record is from RNAcentral.